This 1493-nucleotide unclassified non-coding RNA is filed under the name Leishmania donovani. RNAcentral describes it as "gene:LdHU3.31.1300(CDS-product:lipase_precursor-l ike_protein)". Lineage: Eukaryota; Euglenozoa; Kinetoplastea; Trypanosomatida; Trypanosomatidae. The record is from RNAcentral.
AUAAGUGAUCGGCGCUGGCCCCCUCCACAAUUGCCUCUUGGCCAUUAUUCCACCACCGCACACUCGUCAAGGCCGCUUCCCAAACCCUCGCUCGUGCUGUUCGCCGACGCCAUCUCGCAUCAGGCCUGAUGUACCGCGUGCCACCAACACUCCGCGCUGUAUGUGGUGUUUGCGCUGUUCUCUGCGUGCAGCUCGCAUCAGAAGCGGUGACGCAGAAGCCGUACAGCUUCCAUGAGGCAUGGCGAGCCCACUUCUUCUCCCGCGCGUCCUACUGCGAUAUGCGUCGCGUUCAGUCAUGGACGUGCAGCUCUGCGUGCGGCAGUGUGGCAGCCUUUGAGCUGACGGCUGUAAUGAACCACAUCAUCACAGGCGCCGGCGGCUUUGUCGGCGUGGACCACGCGACGCAGCAGAUUGCGGUCGCCUUCCGCGGCACCGGCAACAUUCAGAGUAUCUUGGCUGGCAUCAAUGUGCUGCUGGCGAAGUACGACAAGAGCUCCAGCUGCGGCUCACAGUGCGAGGUGCACAAUGGCUUCUACGCCUCCUAUAUGUCUCUUCGUCAACAGACACGAGACGCUGUGCUGAAGCUGAUUCGCAAGGGCCCCACGUACGAGAUCCUCGCCACUGGGCACUCGCUCGGUGGGGCCAUGGCGUUACUGGCUGCUGCUGACCUGCAAGAGCGGCUCAACAAUCUUGAAAGCUCCUCUGACUUGAAGCCGGUGCCCGUGUACACCUUUGGCGCACCACGAGUGGGCAACGCUGCCUUUGCAGAGUGGGUAGACUCCUUGCUGGCGAAGGGAGCCAAGUAUCGCAUCACCCAUGCGGGCGAUCCGGUGGUGCUCGUUCCUGCGCGCACGUGGGGCUACGUGCACAGCACCUCGGAAGUGUUCUACAAGACGCGCUCGAAUCACAGUUGUGAUGUGCAACGACUUGCCAGGUCAGGAGGACUCAAGGUGCACCCUCGCAAUGUUCUUUCGUGGGCUUGAUGACCACUUGCACUACAUGGGAGACACCACGGGGAGCAACGAUGAAGCCUCCCUUCCCAGCGCCGCGGUCCGCGAUGCGCCCACGGUAGCGUGCGUCAUCUUCUUGCUUGGAGUUCUGUACAGCCUACUGUGAGGGAGCGUAAUCUUUUCGACGUUCAAGCUGAGCGUGCACGUAGUGGAGUUAGCGUUGUCGAGCUCUUGCUUCUCAGCCCUCGAAUUCGAUGCCCUGACGGGAAUGCCUCACCGCGGCGGUGUUGAGCCUUUGUCUCGCCCUCUUGAUUUUUCUCUCUCCUUUGUGGGUUCAUAAAAGUGUUUCGCAUGUGUGCAUGUGCGUGUGUGUGUGCCUCACCUUCUUUCCCCCGCCGCCGCCUUCGCUGGCAUGUGCAACGUCUAUCUGUGAAUGUUUGUUUUAUAUGGAAAUCUUGACCUUGUCUUUUCCUAUUUGCUCUUCUUAUCGUUCUCCCCCCUCGCGCACGAGCGAUGCUUCAUGAAAUUACAUACGUGCCUUAG